CUUCCCACCCUCUCUCCUCCCCUGUGUGCAUCUGUGGGACAGCCUGGCCACAGCAGCCUCCUCCCUCCCCUCAGGUGUUUGGCACUCUGGAGCAAGUCAAGAAGAAGUACAUGCUGGACGAUUACUCAGUCAGUCAGGUCACCAUGGAGGACGUCUUCCUGAGCUUCGCCUGCCCUGUGCCCCUGGUCCAAAGUGAAGACCAACGAGAGCAAGCAGAGCAGGCGGGCUCCUCAUCGUGCUCGCUGCCUCCUUCCCUGCCUCCCUCCCUGCCUCCCUCAGAGCCUGUCCUGCUGUAAUAAGGACAGACCAGUGCAAGGUUGGCCCAGGUGCGCAUGGCCUGCCCUGGGUUUCCAGGGCUUACAGAGGCAGCUCUCGGCCCAGCUAGCUCAGCACAGGGCUGUCCCCCUAACUGCAGUGCACGGAGCAGAGUGGGGCCCACUGGAGAACUUAAGAGGCCUGCUGGAGAACCCAGAAUCCCCUGCCCAGAUGGUUUGUCCAUCCAGUGCACUCCCUCCCAGGGCAGGCCAUGCCGCCCAACGCACCCUGAGACGCGAGAUGCAGCAAAGCAGCGGCUCUGCAGAACUGCAGGGGGAGUUUGGAUGGGUGCGUGGAGGUUUCCACACAUGUGCAGAUCCUUUGGAAAGCAGGAUAGAGCCAGAAACAGAGAGGAGGGUGCCCAUAGGCCAGGGUGGGGCUGGCUUCCAUGAUCACAUGCAAGAGUGAAGCUUCAUGGAGACCACGAUUCUAAACUCACACCUGGCCUCACAGGUGGUAAUGUCACUGUUCUUCUGAAGGAAGGAGGAAAUAUUGACAAGUUUGCUAGCCUAAGUCAGGAUGUUACAAUAUUUAAAUAUUUGGAUGUGCGCUUUCAUCUUCUUCCCUGGCUCCUGCAAAUUUAGGGCUGCGUGUGAUCCUAUAUCCACCCAUGAAGUGGACAGCGCCCCACCUCCCACAUGCGUGGACGGGCUUAGAGGCAGCCAGUAACUUCCCACGUCAACAGGCAGGGGAGCCAGGGUUGCACUGGGGCAGAGGCUCUCGCAUUGGGGUUCCCAGCAGCAGCAGCACCAUCAGGAAACUUGUUAGAAAUGUAGGUUCUUGGGCCCCACCCAAAACUUACUGAAUCAGAAAUGCCUGGGGCAGGGCCAGCAAUCCGAGUUGCAAGAAGCCCUAUAGCAGGUGCUCUGGCGCAGCUCCAGCAUGAGAACCACUGAGCAGGGGCCCCAUGGGCGCCAGACCAUCGCACUGUCCAGAUGCAGAUGGAUGUGGCCGCAUGCCUUUGUCAUGUACACUCAUCUCUCUUCUGAGACAGGCUCCAUCCAGCGGCCUUUCUCUCUCUGUGGAGCUCACUCUGCCCCUUGCCACAGGCCCCUCAGCUCCCCUCUGGGAAGUGCAGAUGCUGGUCUCUGCCCCUUCUCAGCCAGGACUCAGGAAAGUGUCAUGCACAGGCCUUGCCUAUGCUUCCUGCACCCCUUGCCCAGAACAACAGCGUCGCACACCCAUGGUCACCAACCCACCCUCCUCAGUCCUCGUUUCAGGUGACUGCUCCCUGUGAUGAAAGCCACUCCCUAGGCUCCCACAUCCAGCUCUCAUUCCUCCCAUGCUCCUCUCUGCCUCCACUGAAGGCCCAUCUUCUUCUCUGAAUGUGGGAUUUCUCAGGCUCCCAAGCUACUUCACUUUCCCUUCUCUCCUCCGCCCCUCACUACCCAUAACGUUUUCAACCGACACCUCAUUCCACCAGGAAUUUCCCUGAGCUCCUAACAGUUUAGACUUUUCCAACAAGGUCUCACCUUCCUGAAGCCCAGUGGGAAACGGGCCCACACCCUGGAGGAGCCACUUAUCACCCCGGGGCAGCCCUGGAGGCUCCCACUGCCAGCGCAGGGUGUGGGGCGAAAGCAGGCAUGGCUGCAGUCAAGACAACUCCUGCUCCCUGAAAAAGAAAUUUGCCUCUCCAUAUUGAAAGGAGAGUGAUCAGGACACAAAGCACAGAAUAGAGCUAAACGACAAGGAUGCUGUUCUAGAUUCUAGAGGCAGCUGGUGUGGCUAAUGUGCUCAUGGCUGGCUCUAGUUGAUUAAUCUCUUCAAGACGCUAUGGAAGCUAACCCUGAAAGUGCACCUCUGCCCUAGGGGGAGACAGGUAACAGUGACAAAGUAGGAAACAGUAACCCAGGAGGACAAAAGUGAGAUAAGGGGAUAAGAAAUCUGGGGGCUGAAAACAUGGAACAUCUGGGGAGCAGGCCCCAAACUCGCUCAGCCUGUCCUGUCUUCACCCUCCUUCACCCGCUUCCUGAUUUCGGGACAGGGAAUAGUCCCAACUUCAGGCCCUCUCUGGGGCCACGGACUCUUCUGUACCCUGUGCUGUGAUCACGUGUUUACUCUGUCUCUUGCCCCAGGCCGGCUGAAGCCUACACGCCAGGGCUCCUGUCUGUGUGCCCAGGGCAGGCCCAGUACUUGAAGGGGUUCUAUGGGGACCCGGAAGGAUGGAGGGUGCAGACUGAGGGAAGCGUGAGGGAGAGG
Molecule: long non-coding RNA, 2514 nt
Organism: Pongo abelii (Sumatran orangutan)
Lineage: Eukaryota; Metazoa; Chordata; Mammalia; Primates; Hominidae
Source: Ensembl